RNAcentral lists this ribosomal RNA (523 nucleotides) under uncultured Serratia sp. Its description in RNAcentral is "bacterial SSU rRNA". It matches the Rfam family "Bacterial small subunit ribosomal RNA", at positions 992 to 1515 of the family's 1533-position model. The record is from RNAcentral. Lineage: Bacteria; Pseudomonadati; Pseudomonadota; Gammaproteobacteria; Enterobacterales; Yersiniaceae.
AGGAUUUAGCAGAGAUGCUUUAGUGCCCUCGGGAACUCUGAGACAGGUGCUGCAUGGCUGUCGUCAGCUCGUGUUGUGAAAUGUUGGGUUAAGUCCCGCAACGAGCGCAACCCUUAUCCUUUGUUGCCAGCGAUUCGGUCGGGAACUCAAAGGAGACUGCCAGUGAUAAACUGGAGGAAGGUGGGGAUGACGUCAAGUCAUCAUGGCCCUUACGAGUAGGGCUACACACGUGCUACAAUGGCGUAUACAAAGAGAAGCGACCUCGCGAGAGCAAGCGGACCUCAUAAAGUACGUCGUAGUCCGGAUUGGAGUCUGCAACUCGACUCCAUGAAGUCGGAAUCGCUAGUAAUCGUAGAUCAGAAUGCUACGGUGAAUACGUUCCCGGGCCUUGUACACACCGCCCGUCACACCAUGGGAGUGGGUUGCAAAAGAAGUAGGUAGCUUAACCUUCGGGAGGGCGCUUACCACUUUGUGAUUCAUGACUGGGGUGAAGUCGUAACAAGGUAACCAAGGGCGAAUUCUG